This 443-nucleotide ribosomal RNA is filed under the name uncultured bacterium. RNAcentral describes it as "partial 16S ribosomal RNA". It matches the Rfam family "Bacterial small subunit ribosomal RNA", at positions 338 to 795 of the family's 1533-position model. The record is from RNAcentral.
CCUACGGGCGGCAGCAGUGGGGAAUAUUGGACAAUGGGGGGAACCCUGAUCCAGCGACGCCGCGUGAGUGAAGAAGUAUUUCGGUAUGUAAAGCUCUAUCAGCAGGGAAGAAAGAAAUGACGGUACCUGACUAAGAAGCCACGGCUAACUACGUGCCAGCAGCCGCGGUAAUACGUAGGGGGCAAGCGUUAUCCGGAUUUACGGGGUGUAAGGGGAGCGUAGACGGCGAUGCAAGUCUGAAGUGAAAGGCGGGGGCCCAACCCCUGGACUGCUUUGGAAACUGUAUGGCUGGAGUGCAGGAGAGGUAAGUGGAAUUCCUAGUGUAGCGGUGAAAUGCGUAGAUAUUAGGAGGAACACCAGUGGCGAAGGCGGCUUACUGGACUGUAACUGACGUUGAGGCUCGAAAGCGUGGGGAGCAAACAGGAUUAGAUACCCGGGUAGUC